UAAGUAGGGUAAAGGCACCUAUUACCGUGGUAGUUAAGGAACUUUUCAAAAGAGAUCCAAAAAUUAAGGGUAUCAAUGCUGUCUAACAGCCAGGAAUAUUUUUUUUUCAUCAGAGCAUUUAAUGAACUUUCCGUUUCACACGUUUUUGGAUUCAUUUUGGGUUAUUAUAUGUAUUAAAAUAUUUUUUGAAGCCAAAAUGACCAAAUCUUCUAUUACCGUGGCAAGGGACAGGCUGUGAUUCUAUUAACGCGAAUUGAGCUUUCAUUACCGAGGGUACAAUUGGCAUGAUUUUUCUGCACUCGUUAAUAGAAAUCAAACUCAAAAUUCGAAACCUAAUACCGAGGGUUAAAACAAUAAUAACGACGUGGGUUCUGUAUAUUAUUUUUGUGUCAUUAACUUUAAUAAUGACACAAAAAUAAAAAAUAAAACUAUAGGAGUAUGUUUAAAAAUAAGAGAUAUAUUCGAAGAGAUUAUAAUUACACUUUGGCACAAUCAAAUACUAUUAAAUAGUUAACUUACCAAGUACCCACGAGUACCUGUAUAAUAAGUUAUAAGUUGAAUGUUUUACAUGUAAAACAACAAAAAUUACUAUUAGUAAAGUUUUACUAAGGACGUAUAUGACAAAUAGGCCUGCCUGUUAUUAAAUAAAGUAAUUUUUAAAUGCUAUAAAGAUUGAUAAGAAUUUGUCUUACUGACAUAAUUAGCUGCACAAAAAAAACAAGUAAGUAACAUUUACUCAUAAGGCACAGCGUAAAUUAUAGUCGAAAUUUUAUAAGCUGGACGUUUACCACCUGAGUGAAAGUUUACCACAGUGAAAUGGUAAACGUCCACCUUAUAAAAUUUCGACUAUAUAUAAAAACAUGAAAUUUUUUAAUUCUAAUAUUUUUGUUAAGGUAAUUAAGUUAAAUAAAGUCUCUCACAUAUUAUGUGUUAUAAUUUACCCGUUUAUAAUUAACAAAUCACAGUACUUUUCUUAUUGCUGAUUCUUAUAGCUAAAAAAAUCAUGUCUGAGAUUUUGGACUACUGUAUAAAUAAAAUUAUAUAAAAAAAAAAUCUAAUCGGAAAUGUCCGGCAAAGAAUUUAAAUCUGAUAAUGAUAACUGAAGUCUAAAUUUUAUCAACGAAAUCUGUACUUGCGGUACCCUAAAUGCGAUAUUUCAAUACAAUACCUAAUAGUCACUCGGUAAUAGAUAACUCUUUAAGAGCCUAUUACCGACCCAUUCGAUAUUUCUCUGGGUCGGUAAUAGAUUUCUAUACAUUCUAUUACCGAGGGUAAUCUGAUCAUACCAUCGGUAAUAGGCUUAAUUUGGAGUUUAAUUAAACCUAAUUCCGACCCAUACAAAUAAUAAAACACAGAUGGUUUUUCAAAUCAAAUCAAACACGUAUAUUACAAGCUUCUUGUAAAGACAAAAUCACAUAACUGGCAAGUAAAUUUUAGGUUUUAACUCAAAAUAAAAAAAAGUUGACAGAUUAAGGGUUCCCAUAGAAACAAGGAAAUCGGUGCUGAAGUGUUUGUUAAAAAUUAAGGGUUAGUUAAAUACUUUCCAUAACACGGAAAUAGCUCUUUAAUAGCGUGAAUAGAUCAAGAUUGGAAUAAAUAAAAUAAAUUAUAAAAUUGAUAAUUUGUACCAAAACUAAAGAGUAAAUAACAAAACUAACACUUUUUCUAUUACCGUGGCAUACCACGGAAUUACUUACCACAGAAGUAAUUGGCGCCUAUCUCCGCUGUAUUUUAUUUUCAAUUUUAAACGUAUUUCCGGGUCAAAAACUAAGUUAAAAGUAAUUCAAAAUCGUGUAGAAAACAAUACACAACCUCUUAAAAGGCAUUGCACUAGUUUAUUUGCCAUAACUAUUACGUAAAACACUAAGUAAGAUUGGA
Long non-coding RNA from Cydia pomonella (codling moth), 1878 nucleotides. RefSeq lists it as uncharacterized. The transcript is spliced from 2 exons. Lineage: Eukaryota; Metazoa; Arthropoda; Insecta; Lepidoptera; Tortricidae. The record is from RefSeq and is a predicted model, not a curated record.